Molecule: ribosomal RNA, 527 nt
Filed under: uncultured bacterium
Lineage: Bacteria
Description: partial 16S ribosomal RNA
Rfam family: Bacterial small subunit ribosomal RNA
Source: RNAcentral
UGGGGAAUAUUGCACAAUGGGCGAAAGCCUGAUGCAGCAACGCCGCGUGAGUGAUGAAGGCCUUCGGGUUGUAAAGCUCUGUCUUUUGGGACGAUAAUGACGGUACCAAAGGAGGAAGCCACGGCUAACUACGUGCCAGCAGCCGCGGUAAUACGUAGGUGGCAAGCGUUGUCCGGAUUUACUGGGCGUAAAGGAUGCGUAGGCGGAUUUUUAAGUGAGAUGUGAAAACCCUAAGCUUAACUUGGGGACUGCAUUUCACACUGGAAAUCUAGAGUGCGGGAGAGGAGAAUGGAAUUCCUAGUGUAGCGGUGAAAUGCGUAGAGAUUAGGAAGAACACCAGUGGCGAAGGCGAUUCUCUGGACCGUAACUGACGCUGAGGCAUGAAAGCGUGGGUAGCAAACAGGAUUAGAUACCCUGGUAGUCCUGGCCGUAAACGAUGGGUACUAGGUGUGGGAGGUAUCGACCCCUUCCGUGCCGGAGUUAACGCAAUAAGUACCCGCCUGGGGAGUACGGUCGCAAGACUGAAA